CACACCUGAGAAAGGUAGGCCUGUGGAGUGAAGCAGAGCUACCCUGCUAAAUCCAGCUGACUCCCAGACAUAUGAGGAAGCGGAUGCAUAGCAAGUUUAAAUAGCUUGCAGAAGGACACACAGUUUGCAAGUGAAGGAGCUCAAAUUCAAAGACUGGCAGUCUGCAUCCAGAGUUGAUCAUCUUAAAUACCAUGCUGAACCGGUUGCUCUCAAAGUCUAAACAGUAUUUUUUACAAUAAGAUAUCCUUUUGUAGGUCAACGAAUAGUUUCUAAUUCUUUUUAAAAUAAAAUACAAUGAACUGAAUACAA
Long non-coding RNA from Homo sapiens (human), 309 nucleotides. RefSeq lists it as uncharacterized. NCBI's taxonomy places the organism in Eukaryota, Metazoa, Chordata, Mammalia, Primates, Hominidae. The transcript has 2 exons. The record is from RefSeq and is a predicted model, not a curated record.